GACGAACGCUGGCGGCGUGCUUAACACAUGCAAGUCGAACGGUAAGGCCCUUCGGGGUACACGAGUGGCGAACGGGUGAGUAACACGUGGGUGAUCUGCCCUGCACUUCGGGAUAAGCCUGGGAAACUGGGUCUAAUACCGGAUAGGACCAUGGACUUCACGGUUUGUGGUGGAAAGCUUUUGCGGUGUGGGAUGGGCCCGCGGCCUAUCAGCUUGUUGGUGGGGUAAUGGCCUACCAAGGCGACGACGGGUAGCCGGCCUGAGAGGGUGUCCGGCCACACUGGGACUGAGAUACGGCCCAGACUCCUACGGGAGGCAGCAGUGGGGAAUAUUGCACAAUGGGCGCAAGCCUGAUGCAGCGACGCCGCGUGAGGGAUGACGGCCUUCGGGUUGUAACCUCUUUCAAUAGGGACGAAGCGCAAGU
RNAcentral lists this ribosomal RNA (424 nucleotides) under uncultured bacterium. RNAcentral describes it as "bacterial SSU rRNA". It matches the Rfam family "Bacterial small subunit ribosomal RNA", at positions 28 to 457 of the family's 1533-position model. The record is from RNAcentral.